GAGGAGGGACCUGGUGGGAGAUGAUUGGAUCAUAGGAGUGGAUUUCCCCGUUCUCUUCUCAUGAUAGUGAGUGAGUUCUCAGGAGAUCUGGUUGUUUAAACGUGUGUAGCACUUCCCCCUUAGCUCUCAGUGUCCUGCUCUGACAUGUGAAGACCUACCUGCUUCCCCUUUGCCUUCUGCCAUGACUGUAAGUUUCCUGAGCCCUCCCAGCCAUGCUUCCUGUACCGCCGUGGGAAAUGCAUGCUGUAAAUACCUGACUGAUCUUACAGUGAGGAGAAUAUAGGAUGGAAUGGAUAUAAGAGCAAUCCCAUUAAAGACUACCUGUGGCUAUUAGUCACCUUCCAAACAAAAGAUGCUGAGUUCUCUAAAUUGCUUUAUGUGAGAUGUAACACAAAACCACAUGCUUCUGAAUUGGGCCCGCCCUGGAGCUUAAUAAGCAAGCACUGAGAGCUUAUUUAUGCAUUAGAACAUGGAAAAACUCCAUUUAAAACCCCUUCUCAAGAUUCAGCUGGUUGUCAGAAUGACACAUCUGCUCAGCUAUCCACUCAUGCCCACCUGCUUAUCCAGCUUCCCAUACUCAUGCACCAAGGCAUCAGGGUAGAUAAAGAGGAAUCUAGCAGCCCAAAGGGACAUUGCAAAUAGUAAAGAUGUGGGCUACGGAACAGCAGGCUUAAAACUCCCUAUCAAAGUGGGAAAUAAAAGGUCAUUCUCAAAGUGGUGUUUUAGGCUUAAAAGAGCCCUCUCCU
RNAcentral lists this long non-coding RNA (746 nucleotides) under Homo sapiens (human). Its description in RNAcentral is "HSALNT0008620". Lineage: Eukaryota; Metazoa; Chordata; Mammalia; Primates; Hominidae. The record is from RNAcentral.